CUCGCUGCGCCCCGCCGCCCUCCCCCUCGCGCAGCCCCACCGCCCGCCGCCCGACCCCUCCUCUCCGUCUCUCCUUUCCGUCUGCCGCCCUCCCCUUCCUCUCCGACUCCUGCACCGCGUGCUCGGCACCCCCCUCCUCCGCCGCGCCGCCAGGGCCCGAGCCUAGAAUCCAUCUCCCCCUCGCGCAGCCCCUCCUUGUGCCCCCUCCUCUCCGUCUCUCCUCUCCGUCCGCCGCCCUCCCCCUCCUCUCCAACUCCUGCACCUCGCGCCCCGCACCCCGCACCACGACUCCGAACUCCGUCCUCGCCGCGUCCGCUGCCUCCGAGAAGGUCGCCGCACCGCUUGCAUCCCCGCCGAGCUGAGAAGGCCGCCACCAUCUUGCCCGCGCGUGUGCCGGGCCCCUCCGCCGCUCUCCUACCCGCGGAUCCACUGCAUCUGCUCCAGCCACCGAUUAUACCUGGACGCCUCCCUCGUCACGAGCCUGCCAUGUGCCGCGAUUCCCCGCUCCACGUGCUGCCCCACCCGGGCGAGGCGCUGCAGGCGCUGCUUGCCUCUCCACAAGCCUCCCGUUCGUCCUCUUAGAGCUAUUGCUCUGCUUGCUUGCAGUCGUCUCCCCGACUCCCCAAGUGCCUCCUCCCCGAUCUCCUCUUUCCAAUUGAUAGAGAUUAUUCCCUUCGCAUCCUCUCUCAGUUGUGACAUGUGAAGGGUGCAGCGGCAAUGCUAGACAGUAGACAGACGCCAUAUUGCUAAUCGUUGGCACUGAGCAGGCUGGGCGUUUACGGCACCAUCCAAUCAUCCAUCAGGAGCGGGUGAUAGCAGAGUUGGCAAGCCACAGUCAAUUUUUUCACAGCAGGCCUCUCACAGCAGCUUUUUCACAGCGGACAUCUGAUAGCAGCUUUUCCACAGCUCACAACUGAACCAAAUGCAUCCUUAGUGGCUUUUGGGGCAAAAAAUUAGCCACCUGCCAGUGGUUAUGAAAAAACGGUUCGCUCUUCUAUUCUUCCACCCGUUCGACUCCCACCUGUCUCCCCAUCGCCUCCCACCCGCGCCUCUAGGUCGGCCGCCGCCUCCGCCCCGGCCGCCGCCUCUACGCCCCAGCCGCCGCCCCCCCAUCCUGGCCGCCGCUACACCCUCGUCGUCGCCCCGGCCACUGCCUCCGCCCCGGCCGUCGCCCUAGCUGCCGCCCCGGCUGCGAGUUCCUCCUCGUCGUGUCCGACGGGCUCUAGGAUAAGGUGAGCAAUCAGGAGGCCGUCGACAUCGUCUCGAGGAGCUGGAACACGGCGGCAACAUCGUCCGUGGCGCGUUCUUGCGCGGAGCUCGUGGACAUGGCGCGGUGCAGCGGGAGCAGGGACGACGUCACCGUUAUGGUUGUCGACCUUGAGAGGUUCGUGAGAUAAAAGUGACGGAGCUGGUGAUGGAGGCACUAACUGAAGUGACGAGCUUAGUUAGCAAAUUUGAGCUGAUGGAGGUUAAACGGAGCUUCUUGAUUGAUUGUAAAUAUGCAGUAAACAUCAUUUUUUUCUGUCCCUCUCGAUCUGUAAGUAUAGGUAGCAGUUAGGAAUGCAGUGUUUGGAGGGUACAGAAAAUUAGGAAGACACUUGCUUUUUGGCAGGUAAUUGUUACUUCUGUUAUUGUUCAAGGAAUGGUUGGUGGUGUACAGAUAACUCAUUUGAAUGUAAGCUCUCAGACGGCAGGAAGGUUUUAUUUGUGCUGAA
Panicum hallii is the source of this 1715-nucleotide long non-coding RNA. RefSeq lists it as uncharacterized. The transcript is spliced from 3 exons. NCBI's taxonomy places the organism in Eukaryota, Viridiplantae, Streptophyta, Magnoliopsida, Poales, Poaceae. The record is from RefSeq and is a predicted model, not a curated record.